GACAAACCGCCCGUCGGAAAUGUCGGCGGAUGCCAGCAAGCAUAGGGGGAGCUGACUCCCUACGAAAGCGAUUCAGGACCAGAAGCCGCUCGCGGAUUCGCCAAAAAACAUUCUAGGAGACGACGACCACGAUUCUUCAUCCCUUCUCCGUGAAGCUUUUCUUCCGAGUAACCACGCGAACGACCUUACACUAUCGGGACCGAACCAAGCCGUGCCCCUUCCUAAGCUAUGGCAUAAAGAAUCAUAACACCACUGUAAGGUUUUCUUUUGUUAUUAUUUUUACUCGUGUUUAUUAUUAUCACUUUCGGCAGAUCAAUAUCAAUAAACACCAAAGCUUCAAGAGAAGGAA
Musa acuminata subsp. malaccensis (wild Malaysian banana) is the source of this 349-nucleotide non-coding RNA. The record is from RefSeq and is a predicted model, not a curated record. Lineage: Eukaryota; Viridiplantae; Streptophyta; Magnoliopsida; Zingiberales; Musaceae.